This 652-nucleotide long non-coding RNA is filed under the name Heterocephalus glaber (naked mole-rat). RNAcentral describes it as "lncRNA (ENSHGLG00100042819.1)". Lineage: Eukaryota; Metazoa; Chordata; Mammalia; Rodentia; Bathyergidae. The record is from RNAcentral.
CAGCCAAAAUUUUCAGGGAGCUGAACUUUACUCUGGUCUAUAGAGCUGUAGUCUUAAGAGAAUUUGCUAACAGAGAAAAUCUCUAUUUCUGUCUUAUAGAUUAGAGUAACUAAAAGCCCUAACUUUCUGGAGGGAAGAUACAAGUAUUUUUUUAGGAGUUCCCAGUACCAGAAACCACUUGCAAGAUCAUGUAGAGAGUCUGAGAUGAAGAGGAGAAAAAGAAAAAAAUUAUUUGAAGAAAUAAUGGCUGGAAACUUCAUAAAUUUGGCAAAAGACAAAAACCCGCUGAGUUAAUAAGCCCAGCAAACUCCGAACAGGAUAAAUCCAAAGAAAUGACUGCCCAGAGACAGCAUAAAGAGCUUGCAAACUAAAUGCAAAGAAAAAAAAUUGAAAGCAGCCAGAGGAAAAAAAUGAAUUACUUACAGGAAACAACAAUUAGUUGACUGUGCAUUGUUCACCAGAAAUCAUGAAGGCCAAGGGCUAAGAGCACCAAUGGGAAAAGGACAGUCUCUUCAAUAAAUGUGGGAAAACUAGGUAUCCACACAUGGAAGGGUAAAACUGGUGUUUACCCUUGUCUCACACGGUGUGCAAAAAUUAGCUCAAUUUAAAAAUGAGACCUGAAGCUGUAAAACUAUUAAAAGAGAAAAUAGAG